GUUAGUUCAGCCUGAACAAAACCAUGCUUUAAAAGAAGUUAUAAAAACUGAUCGAAAAAUUAUAAUAAAUUUAGACCAUAAAAUAAGUUCUUUGGAAAAAUCUUGCCAAUUUGGAAAUAAAGUUAUAACUAUACUUAAUAUAAAAGCUGAAGGAUUAAAUAAUGUGGCCAUAAAAGAAAAAUUAAAUUUAAUAACUGAUACACUUAUGGAUAAUUUUUCCACAUGUCAUGGAGAUGACAAUGGCAACUCUCAUACCGACAAUAACAAUGAAUUAAAUAUUACUACAAAUAACAAAAGAAUUAUUGAUUUUUGUAAAAUUUCACAAUAUUUUGAUUUUAAAUGUUUACCAUACUGUACAUUAAAUUAUGAUACUAUUCCUAUGCAUUUUUUUAUUAAUAAUGAUAAAAAUUUAUUAAUAGAGUCAUGUACUUUUAAUAAAAAAAAAGAUACAAAUAGCAAAACAAAAAGAUUUAAUAAUAUUUAUAAAAAGUUAAAAGAUUAUAAUUAUGAUGAAGAACCUGAAAUAAAAUUAGAAUCAUAUGAACAAUCCAUGAGAUUAAAAGAUAAAUUGUCAGAACUCGAACAAAAUCAAAAAAAAAAUAACGUAAAGUUUUUUCCAUUUAUAGUAGACACUGAACCAACAAACGGAUUUAACGAAACAACGUUCAGAUUAUUUUUAAUUUCAUUACUAGUUUCUAAAGGUUAUGUUGAAUUUUUUAAAGACGAUAAUAAUAUUUUAUGCAUAAAAUCGUCCGAUUAUUAUAAAGAUGUAGAAAAAACACAAGAAUAUGAACAAGAAGGUGAAAACGAACAAGAAGGGAAACACGAACAAGAAGGGAAACACGAAACUGAUAAAAAUGUAAAACAAAAAAACCAAGCCUUACUCACAUCUUGGUCCUAUAAAAAAUGGAAAAAAUUAGUUAAGCAGAUAAAAAGUGAGUUAUAAAAAAAAUGAACAAGUUAUCAAACAAACAAACAAAUCAAUUGAUAGAAUAAAAAUAAAGC
Molecule: long non-coding RNA, 1005 nt
Filed under: Piliocolobus tephrosceles (Ugandan red Colobus)
Lineage: Eukaryota; Metazoa; Chordata; Mammalia; Primates; Cercopithecidae
Description: lncRNA (ENSPTEG00000014322.1)
Source: RNAcentral